RNAcentral lists this ribosomal RNA (700 nucleotides) under uncultured beta proteobacterium. RNAcentral describes it as "bacterial SSU rRNA". It matches the Rfam family "Bacterial small subunit ribosomal RNA", at positions 56 to 751 of the family's 1533-position model. The record is from RNAcentral. Lineage: Bacteria; Pseudomonadati; Pseudomonadota; Betaproteobacteria.
UGCAAGUCGAACGGCAGCACGGGGGCAACCCUGGUGGCGAGUGGCGAACGGGUGAGUAAUACAUCGGAACGUGCCCAGUCGUGGGGGAUAACGUAGCGAAAGUUACGCUAAUACCGCAUACGAUCUCUGGAUGAAAGCGGGGGACCGCAAGGCCUCGCGCGAUUGGAGCGGCCGAUGUCAGAUUAGGUAGUUGGUGGGGUAAAGGCUCACCAAGCCGACGAUCUGUAGCUGGUCUGAGAGGACGACCAGCCACACUGGGACUGAGACACGGCCCAGACUCCUACGGGAGGCAGCAGUGGGGAAUUUUGGACAAUGGGCGCAAGCCUGAUCCAGCCAUUCCGCGUGCAGGAUGAAGGCCCUCGGGUUGUAAACUGCUUUUGUACGGAACGAAAAGGCCUUGGCUAAUACCCGGGGCGCGUGACGGUACCGUAAGAAUAAGCACCGGCUAACUACGUGCCAGCAGCCGCGGUAAUACGUAGGGUGCAAGCGUUAAUCGGAAUUACUGGGCGUAAAGCGUGCGCAGGCGGUCUUGUAAGACAGAGGUGAAAUCCCCGGGCUCAACCUGGGAACUGCCUUUGUGACUGCAAGGCUUGAGUACGGCAGAGGGGGAUGGAAUUCCGCGUGUAGCAGUGAAAUGCGUAGAUAUGCGGAGGAACACCGAUGGCGAAGGCAGUCUCCUGGGCCUGUACUGACGCUCAUG